AGUGGGGAAUAUUGCANNNNGGAGGAGACUCUGAUGCAGCGACGCCGCGUGAGCGAAGCAGGCUUUCGAGUCGUGAAGCUCUGUCCUAAGAGAAGAAGAAGUGACGGUAACUUAGGAGGAAGCCCCGGCUAACUACGUGCCAGCAGCCGCGGUAAUACGUAGGGGGCUAGCGUUGUCCGGAAUUACUGGGCGUAAAGGGUGAGUAGGUGGUCAUUAAAGUCAGAUGUAAAAGGCAAUGGCUCAACCAUUGUAAGCAUUUGAAACUUAAUGACUUGAGUGCAGGAGAGGUAAAUGGAAUUCCUAGUGUAGCGGUGAAAUGCGUAGAUAUUAGGAAGAACACCAGUGGCGAAGGCGAUUUACUGGACUGUAACUGACACUGAGUCACGAAAGCGUGGGGAGCGAACAGGAUUAGAUACCCUGGUAAUCCACGCUGUAAACGAUGAGUGCUAGGUGUCGGCAAGAGAUUGUCGGUGCCGCAGUUAACGCAUUAAGCACUCCGCCUGGGGAGUACGAUCGCAAGAUUG
RNAcentral lists this ribosomal RNA (524 nucleotides) under uncultured bacterium. Its description in RNAcentral is "bacterial SSU rRNA". It matches the Rfam family "Bacterial small subunit ribosomal RNA", at positions 353 to 896 of the family's 1533-position model. The record is from RNAcentral.